GGCCACGCCCCCAGGCCACUCCCCCUCUCCCGGCUGCGGCCUCCCAGUCUCCUCGGCCACACCCCCUUCCCAACUACUUAAAAGGACACUCCGACGCUCACGUUUCCCUACGGUGCUGGGGUUCCUGUCUGUGCAGUUCUGCUUGGCCCCGGGCACCCUCCGCUGACUAUGGCUCCUGGAUUCUCAUGAGUCUCCUGCUCAAGACUGUAGGUGAAGCAUGUACAUUUGUUCCCAAGCAGCUCCAGAAAGGCAAGUUUCAGCUCAGUAUCAGGUCCUUUCCAGUCAGCUACAUCUGUCCACAGGUGACAUGGCUGCCUUGGGAGGGAGGGAGCUGUUCCUGUCAAGACUGGCAAGAGUGAUGCAGAGAGAGAUGACACUGGGUGACUUCUGAGCUACUUCCAACGCUCAUAGUCUGUGAUUCUAUGGAACUCACUUGGCCCAGGAAGGGGCUUCCAGAAAGGGGUGGGGGCAUCCCUCUGUUUGGAGGAUUAUGCUGUGAUGAAACUGAUGGAGAAGGCGUGCUGGUGAACACUGGAAGCCUCUGGGUAUGCUGAAGGCAGGACAGAUUGUUCUGCAAGAGAAAUUCACGGGAACUUGGAGUUUGGAUAGAAGGGUCUUGGGGAGAAGAGAGAGAGGCUGGAGAAGAUAAGAUAAGGAGAAGCUGGAGAGUGGAGUAGGGGCGUGUGAAGAUGCAGGCGCCCUGAGUGCCCGGCUGUGUGGACCUGAUCUGAGCCACAACUUCCUGACUUCGAAGGCCAGGCUGGAGCCCAAGAAGGCUUUGCAGCCCCCUGGGUGUGCUCAUUGUGUGAGCCAAGUGUUGUCUCUGGUGAUGAUGCCGACAGCCCGGCUCUCCUCGUGUUUCCGCUGCUGCGUGGAAUGUGAACCAGCUGAGCCGGACCAGCGCCGCCCCAGGGCAGGAGGCCAGGUGUGCUGUCUCUGGACGACAGGCAUGAGGAACAGCGACGCCUGAUGUCACCAGGGCCUGGGAACCACCCUGCCUGGGGGAUGCUGGCCCUCUCUGCUAAUGUGCUUGGGUCCUUAUUUCCUCUUUGAAUGUGUUUCUUGAAAAACAAACUCUUUGAGGUGAAAAAAGUUUAUGGUUUUUAGAACAAUGGUUUGAAAUAGAGCAAAUACUGGUAACAGGCUCUGCAGAUAAUUCUAUAAAGCUGUGAAAGAGCCACGAAAUAGUUUACUCUAAUCACCCUGUACAAAGCAGCCACCUUCAGGAUUCAUUUCUUCAAGUGGUGUCAAUUCAAUUAAUCAUAAAAAAAUGAUUAAAAGAAUUUCAUACAACUUUGCUUUUAAAAUAAAAUCUUGGUGAACCAGCA
RNAcentral lists this long non-coding RNA (1328 nucleotides) under Equus asinus (donkey). RNAcentral's name for it is "lncRNA (ENSEASG00005028871.1)". Lineage: Eukaryota; Metazoa; Chordata; Mammalia; Perissodactyla; Equidae. The record is from RNAcentral.